ACAUACGACCAUAGGAAGCUUGGACCACUGAAACCCGUUAGAUCUUCUUUAGUUAAACAGUUUACCGGCGGGUUAGUAGUUAGGUGGGUGACCACUAGCGAAUCCCCGCUGUCGUAUGUU
RNAcentral lists this ribosomal RNA (120 nucleotides) under Bipolaris zeicola 26-R-13. Lineage: Eukaryota; Fungi; Ascomycota; Dothideomycetes; Pleosporales; Pleosporaceae. The record is from RNAcentral.